RNAcentral lists this ribosomal RNA (253 nucleotides) under uncultured Lachnospiraceae bacterium. RNAcentral's name for it is "partial 16S ribosomal RNA". It matches the Rfam family "Bacterial small subunit ribosomal RNA", at positions 524 to 776 of the family's 1533-position model. Lineage: Bacteria; Bacillati; Bacillota; Clostridia; Lachnospirales; Lachnospiraceae. The record is from RNAcentral.
UACGUAUGGAGCAAGCGUUAUCCGGAUUUACUGGGCGUAAAGGGAGCGUAGGCGGCCUGCCAAGUCUGAUGUGAAAUACCGGGGCUCAACCCCGGGGCUGCAUUGGAAACUGGCAGGCUGGAGUGCCGGAGAGGCAGGCGGAAUUCCUAGUGUAGCGGUGAAAUGCGUAGAUAUUAGGAGGAACACCAGUGGCGAAGGCGACUUUCUGGACUGUACCUGACGCUGAGGCGCGAAAGCGUGGGUAGCGAACGGG